UACGUAGGGGGCUAGCGUUGCUCGGAAUCACUGGGCGUAAAGCGCACGUAGGCGGAUUGCUAAGUCAGGGGUGAAAUCCUGGAGCUCAACUCCAGAACUGCCUUUGAUACUGGCGAUCUUGAGUCCGGGAGAGGUGAGUGGAACUGCGAGUGUAGAGGUGAAAUUCGUAGAUAUUCGCAAGAACACCAGUGGCGAAGGCGGCUCACUGGCCCGGUACUGACGCUGAGGUGCGAAAGCGUGGGGAGCAAACAGG
RNAcentral lists this ribosomal RNA (253 nucleotides) under uncultured bacterium. Its description in RNAcentral is "partial 16S ribosomal RNA". It matches the Rfam family "Bacterial small subunit ribosomal RNA", at positions 524 to 776 of the family's 1533-position model. The record is from RNAcentral.